RNAcentral lists this long non-coding RNA (272 nucleotides) under Elaeis guineensis (African oil palm). Its description in RNAcentral is "long non-coding RNA (EGUI_LNC014389)". The record is from RNAcentral. Lineage: Eukaryota; Viridiplantae; Streptophyta; Magnoliopsida; Arecales; Arecaceae.
GAAAGAUUGGACUGUGUCCGAGAUAUUUUUCUCUUUCUACCUGACGAUCUUUGGGGUAAGUAUGUUUUUCUUUUUUUUAUCUGGCUUGUUCUUUCUUUUCAGUUGGCGCACCAUAUGAACACUAUGGAGUGCGGGUAUCAAAAUUUUAUCGAGCUUUGUCAGAUGUGGAUGGACAAGGUCACUGUCGCCAAUGCCGAUAAAGCUGCUGUCAUGGAACAGCUUCAAGCGACAACUGAAUGAGAGAAGAAGCUCUAGGAAGAGAUCUCCCACGU